RNAcentral lists this ribosomal RNA (253 nucleotides) under uncultured bacterium. RNAcentral's name for it is "partial 16S ribosomal RNA". It matches the Rfam family "Bacterial small subunit ribosomal RNA", at positions 524 to 776 of the family's 1533-position model. The record is from RNAcentral.
UACGUAGGGGGCCAGCGUUGUCCGGAUUUACUGGGCGUAAAGAGCGCGUAGGCGGUUCGGUAAGCGGAGGGUGAAAUACCGGGGCUCAACUCCGGUGCUGCUCUCCGAACUGCUGGACUAGAGUACGGGAGAGGGUAGUGGAAUUCCUGGUGUAGCGGUGGAAUGCGUAAAUAUCAGGAGGAACACCCGUGGCGAAGGCUGCUACCUGGAACGUUACUGACGCUGAGGCGCGAAAGCUAGGGGAGCGAACGGG